GUGGGGAAUAUUGCACAAUGGGCGAAAGCCUGAUGCAGCAACGCCGCGUGAGGGACGACGGCCUUCGGGUUGUAAACCUCUUUUAGUAGGGAAGAAGCGAAAGUGACGGUACCUGCAGAAAAAGCACCGGCUAACUACGUGCCAGCAGCCGCGGUAAUACGUAGGGUGCAAGCGUUAUCCGGAAUUAUUGGGCGUAAAGAGCUCGUAGGCGGUCUGUCGCGUCUGCUGUGAAGACUGGAGGCUCAACCUCCAGCCUGCAGUGGGUACGGGCAGACUAGAGUGCGGUAGGGGAGAUUGGAAUUCCUGGUGUAGCGGUGGAAUGCGCAGAUAUCAGGAGGAACACCGAUGGCGAAGGCAGAUCUCUGGGCCGUAACUGACGCUGAGGAGCGAAAGCGUGGGGAGCGAACAGGAUUAGAAACCCGGGUAGUCC
RNAcentral lists this ribosomal RNA (430 nucleotides) under uncultured bacterium. Its description in RNAcentral is "partial 16S ribosomal RNA". It matches the Rfam family "Bacterial small subunit ribosomal RNA", at positions 354 to 796 of the family's 1533-position model. The record is from RNAcentral.